AUUGAACGCUGGCGGCAUGCUUUACACAUGCAAGUCGAACGGCAGCGCGGGCUUCUGCCUGGCGGCGAGUGGCGAACGGGUGAGUAAUACAUCGGAACGUGCCCAGUAGUGGGGGAUAGCUCGGCGAAAGCCGGAUUAAUACCGCAUACGACCUGAGGGUGAAAGCGGGGGAUCUUCGGACCUCGCGCUAUGGGAGCGGCCGAUGGCAGAUUAGCUAGUUGGUGGGGUAAAGGCCUACCAAGGCGACGAUCUGUAGCUGGUCUGAGAGGACGACCAGCCACACUGGAGCUGAGCCACCGCCCAGACUCCUACGGGACGCCGCAGUCGGCAAUUUUAGACAAUGGGCGAAAGUAUGACCCAGCAGUCGCGCGUGUGUGAUGAAGGCCUUCGGGUUGUAAAGCAGUUCUGGCGGGAACGAACGGGACUGUGCCAAUACCACGGUUCGGUGACGGUACCCGCAGAAUAAGCACCGGCUAACUACGUG
Molecule: ribosomal RNA, 484 nt
Filed under: uncultured bacterium
Lineage: Bacteria
Description: partial 16S ribosomal RNA
Rfam family: Bacterial small subunit ribosomal RNA
Source: RNAcentral